GACGAACGCUGGCGGCGUGCUUAACACAUGCAAGUCGUACGGUAAGGCCCUUUCGGGGGUACACGAGUGGCGAACGGGUGAGUAACACGUGAGUAACCUGCCCACAACUUUGGGAUAACGCUAGGAAACUGGUGCUAAUACUGGAUAUGUGCUCCUGCUUCAUGGUGGGGGUUGGAAAGCUCCGGCGGUUGUGGAUGGACUCGCGGCCUAUCAGCUUGUUGGUGGGGUAGUGGCCUACCAAGGCGGCGACGGGUAGCCGGCCUGAGAGGGUGACCGGCCACAUUGGGACUGAGAUACGGCCCAGACUCCUACGGGAGGCAGCAGUGGGGAAUAUUGAACAAUGGGCGCAAGCCUGAUGCAGCAACGCCGCGUGCGGGAUGACGGCCUUCGGGUUGUAAACCGCUUUCAGCAGGGACGAAGCUUUUUGUGACGGUACCUGCAGAAGAAGCACCGGCUAACUACGUG
RNAcentral lists this ribosomal RNA (465 nucleotides) under uncultured bacterium. Its description in RNAcentral is "partial 16S ribosomal RNA". It matches the Rfam family "Bacterial small subunit ribosomal RNA", at positions 28 to 507 of the family's 1533-position model. The record is from RNAcentral.